This 504-nucleotide small nuclear RNA is filed under the name Cryptosporidium parvum. Lineage: Eukaryota; Apicomplexa; Conoidasida; Eucoccidiorida; Cryptosporidiidae. The record is from RNAcentral.
GAGUAUUCAACCUGGGAAUGUAGGAACUGACGUGUUAGUAGUGAGCUGACAUUGAGUAUUAAAAAUUUGUAGUCUAUUUCGAUUUGAAAAGGCUAUGGAAUGAUUAGUACUGAUGAGAGAAAUAUAUUAUAGAUGAGUAAUGUAUAAUAUAUGAGUCGCAGGUAAAUACAUGUUUUUACGAUUGAAAUAUAACGUUGUUUUAUAUUUGAUUGUAAAUGUAGUGUAUUUAGUGUAGUCAAUUUUGACAAUAUGUGUUGAAUUGAUAUUUACACGAAUGUUAAAUAUAAGAGGUUGUUGUAUUAUUAUGGUUUCCAAAGAAUUAUAUGUGAUAAGUAUUAAUGUAUGACUCUACAUUGUUAUAUAGUAGUUAUGUUGUUUAUAUAUAUUUAUAUGUAUAUAUAUGAUAUAUAUAUUAUUGUAUAAUGGUGUUUUGGGAGCGUACAAUGUUGGAAUAUUUCGUAACCAUUGUUGAAAAGAAAAAGUAAUAAUUUUUUAUAAUAUAUU